RNAcentral lists this ribosomal RNA (497 nucleotides) under uncultured bacterium. RNAcentral describes it as "partial 16S ribosomal RNA". It matches the Rfam family "Bacterial small subunit ribosomal RNA", at positions 28 to 507 of the family's 1533-position model. The record is from RNAcentral.
GAUGAACGCUGGCGGCGUGCCUAAUACAUGCAAGUCGAGCGAACAGAUAAGGAGCUUGCUCCUUUGACGUUAGCGGCGGACGGGUGAGUAACACGUGGGUAACCUACCUAUAAGACUGGAAUAACUCCGGGAAACCGGGGCUAAUGCAGUAUAACAUGUUUAACCGCAUGGUUCUACAGUGAAAGUCGGCUUUUCUGUCACUUAUAGAUGUACCCGCUCCUUAUUAGCUAGUUGGUAAGGUAACGGCUCACCAAGGCAACGAUACGUAGCCGACCUGAGAGGGUGACCGGCCACACUGGAACUGAGACACGGUCCAGACUCCUACGGGAGGCAGCAGUAGGGAAUCUUCCGCAAUGGGCGAAAGCCAGACGGAGCAACGCCGCGUGAGUGAUGAAGGUCUUCGGAUCGUAAAACUCUGUUAUUAGGGAAGAACAAAUGCGUAAGUAACUGUGCGCGUCUUGACGGUACCUAAUCAGAAAGCCACGGCUAACUACGUG